UUCGCAAUGCCCGAAAGGGUGACGAAGCGACGCCGCGUGGGUGAAGAAGGCCUUCGGGUUGUAAAGCCCUGUCAGGAGUUAUGAAAUGUAAGUGCGCUAAUGUCGUGCUUAUUUGACAAAGGCUCCAAAGGAAGCCACGGCUAACUCUGUGCCAGCAGCCGCGGUAAUACAGAGGUGGCGAGCGUUGUUCGGAAUUAUUGGGCGUAAAGAGCACGUAGGUGGGUUUGUAAGUCAGAUGUGAAAGCCUUCUGUUCAACGGAAGAAUUGCAUCUGAAACUGCGAAUCUUGAGUAUAGGAGGGGAGAAUGGAACUUCUGGUGGAGCGGUGAAAUGCGUAGAUAUCAGAAGGAACGCCGGCGGCGAAAGCGAUUCUCUGGCCUAUUACUGACACUCAGUGUGCGAAAGCUAGGGGAGCAAACGGGAUUAGAUACCCCGGUAGUCCUAGCCGUAAACGAUGGGCACUAAGUAGAGGGGUUUU
RNAcentral lists this ribosomal RNA (477 nucleotides) under uncultured Candidatus Scalindua sp. Its description in RNAcentral is "bacterial SSU rRNA". It matches the Rfam family "Bacterial small subunit ribosomal RNA", at positions 365 to 832 of the family's 1533-position model. The record is from RNAcentral. Lineage: Bacteria; Pseudomonadati; Planctomycetota; Candidatus Brocadiia; Candidatus Brocadiales; Candidatus Scalinduaceae.